This is a long non-coding RNA of Syngnathus acus (greater pipefish), 102 nucleotides long. RefSeq lists it as uncharacterized. The transcript has 3 exons. Lineage: Eukaryota; Metazoa; Chordata; Actinopteri; Syngnathiformes; Syngnathidae. The record is from RefSeq and is a predicted model, not a curated record.
UCACGUCGCAACUCAACACCAAGAUGUCGGUCUGAGGAGGCAAAUUAGAAAGACACAAAGACGAGAGCCAUGUAAGGGCCCUGGCUGCCUGUGACACUCAAC